This 252-nucleotide ribosomal RNA is filed under the name uncultured bacterium. RNAcentral describes it as "partial 16S ribosomal RNA". It matches the Rfam family "Bacterial small subunit ribosomal RNA", at positions 524 to 776 of the family's 1533-position model. The record is from RNAcentral.
UACAUAGGUUGCAAGCGUUAUCCGGAUUUACUGGGCGUAAAGCGUGCGCAGGUGGUAUUGUGUGUCUGUGGUUAAAGGCAUAAGCUCAACUUAUGUUCGCCUCAGAUACUGCUUUACUAGAGUAUAAGAGAGGUUAUCGGAAUUCCAUAUGUAGCGGUGGAAUGCGUAGAUAUAUGGAGGAACACCAUUGGCGAAAGCGGAUAACUAACUUAUAACUGACACUUAGGCACGAAAGCGUGGGGAGCAAAUAGG